GACGAACGCUGGCGGCGUGCCUAAUACAUGCAAGUAGAACGCUGAGGGAGGAGCUUGCUCUUCUGGAUGAGUUGCGAACGGGUGAGUAACGCGUAGGUAACCUGCCUGGUAGCGGGGGAUAACUAUUGGAAACGAUAGCUAAUACCGCAUAACAGUAGAUGUUGCAUGACAUUUACUUAAAAGGUGCAAUUGCAUCACUACCAGAUGGACCUGCGUUGUAUUAGCUAGUUGGUGGGGUAACGGCUCACCAAGGCGACGAUACACAGCCGACCUGAGAGGGUGAUCGGCCACACUGGGACUGAGACACGGCCCAGACUCCUACGGGAGGCAGCAGUAGGGAAUCUUCGGCAAUGGACGGAAGUCUGACCGAGCAACGCCGCGUGAGUGAAGAAGGUUUUCGGAUCGUAAAGCUCUGUUGUAAGAGAAGAACGAGUGUGAGAGUGGAAAGUUCACACUGUGACGGUAUCUUACCAGAAAGGGACGGCUAACUACGUG
Molecule: ribosomal RNA, 495 nt
Filed under: uncultured bacterium
Lineage: Bacteria
Description: partial 16S ribosomal RNA
Rfam family: Bacterial small subunit ribosomal RNA
Source: RNAcentral